ACUGCCCCUAGAGGCAUUGCAGGUGUGGCUACUGUGCCACAGGUGUGUCAGUAGGUGACAGAGAGAAGAAAAGCUAUGUCUUCACUCAGUGUUCUGAACUGUGAACAUCUGAAUGAUUAGUAGGCUAGCACU
Molecule: small nucleolar RNA, 132 nt
Organism: Acomys russatus (golden spiny mouse)
Lineage: Eukaryota; Metazoa; Chordata; Mammalia; Rodentia; Muridae
Product: small nucleolar RNA SNORA17
Exons: 1
Source: RefSeq, a predicted model, not a curated record